This 406-nucleotide ribosomal RNA is filed under the name uncultured bacterium. RNAcentral describes it as "partial 16S ribosomal RNA". It matches the Rfam family "Bacterial small subunit ribosomal RNA", at positions 30 to 526 of the family's 1533-position model. The record is from RNAcentral.
AUUGAACGCUGGCGGCAGGCCUAACACAUGCAAGUCGAGCGAGCGGCGGACGGGUGAGUAAUGUCUGGGAAACUGCCUGAUGGAGGGGGAUAACUACUGGAAACGGUAGCUAAUACCGCAUACCAUCAGAUGUGCCCAGAUGGGAUUAGCUAGUAGGUGGGGUAACGGCUCACCUAGGCGAAGAUCCCUAGCUGGUCUGAGAGGCUGACAAGCAACACUGGAACUGAGACACGGUCCAGACUCCGACGGGAGGCAGCAGUGGGGAAUAUUGCACAAUGGGCGCAAGCUUGAUGCAGCCAUGCCGCGUGUGUGAAGAAGGCUUUCGGGUUGUAAAGCACUUUCAGCGGGGAGGCGUUACCCGCAGAAGAAGCACCGGCUAACGCCGUGCCAGCAGCCGCGGUAAUAC